UGGGGAAUUUUGGACAAUGGGCGAAAGCCUGAUCCAGCAAUGCCGCGUGUGUGAAGAAGGCCUUCGGGUUGUAAAGCACUUUUGUCCGGAAAGAAAUCCUUGGCUCUAAUACAGUCGGGGGAUGACGGUACCGGAAGAAUAAGCACCGGCUAACUACGUGCCAGCAGCCGCGGUAAUACGUAGGGUGCAAGCGUUAAUCGGAAUUACUGGGCGUAAAGCGUGCGCAGGCGGUUUGCUAAGACCGAUGUGAAAUCCCCGGGCUCAACCUGGGAACUGCAUUGGUGACUGGCAGGCUAGAGUAUGGCAGAGGGGGGUAGAAUUCCACGUGUAGCAGUGAAAUGCGUAGAGAUGUGGAGGAAUACCGAUGGCGAAGGCAGCCCCCUGGGCCAAUACUGACGCUCAUGCACGAAAGCGUGGGGAGCAAACAGGAUUAGAUACCCUGGUAGUCCACGCCCUAAACGAUGUCAACUAGUUGUUGGGGAUUCAUUUCCUUAGUAACGUAGCUAACGCGUGAAGUUGACCGCCUGGGGAGUACGGUCGCAAGAUUAAAACUUAAAUGAAUUGACGGGGUCAUAGCUGUUCCU
RNAcentral lists this ribosomal RNA (584 nucleotides) under uncultured bacterium. Its description in RNAcentral is "partial 16S ribosomal RNA". It matches the Rfam family "Bacterial small subunit ribosomal RNA", at positions 355 to 937 of the family's 1533-position model. The record is from RNAcentral.